Molecule: long non-coding RNA, 665 nt
Organism: Melospiza melodia melodia
Lineage: Eukaryota; Metazoa; Chordata; Aves; Passeriformes; Passerellidae
Exons: 3
Source: RefSeq, a predicted model, not a curated record
CCGCGUCCCGUGCAAGCUGGGAAGGAAACCUGUUGGUAGAGCCUGAAACGUGCCCGGUUGCUUUGGAGGGUGAUCCAGACCAGAUCUGUAGAAAGACUGGUAGUUGAGUUCUCUACGAGGCUUCCUUCGGAAUUGCCCUUUUCUGAGCAGCGGGCGGUGCCCGGCCCGCGGCUCCGAGCUUCCAGUUCCAUCCACGGAUGAGGGGAACUGCCUGUGCUUGGAGAGUAUUGUCCCGUAGAGGAAAUCACAUCUGGUGCAAGCACAGGUCAGACUAUGCUAUUUUUCCAUGCCAGCUUUGGUUAUCUUCAGUUGUCAAGGGAUCACCCUGAGAUCAGAACUUGAGAAGCAUCACCAACUGAACUUUCCAAGCAUCACCAACUGAAUGUUCAUACCACUGUUAUGAUGGAAGAGAGACUUACGAUGGCCCGUGUUGGAGAGAGUCACCCUUGCAGUAUUCUCUGAUACUGCUUCUGGCUGAACAAAGUGGGCAUCACGCUGCGUUAGAAGAAGGCAUUGUGCAAACAAAGUAUCAAAAGAAGCUGGAAAACAGACUUUGUGCAAUCAGACUUAAAUCAAACUGAGACGGAAUGGUAUUUGGUUUAAAUAAUCUUAUACUUUAUUUUAAAACUUAUAAAAACCAAUUAUUAGAACAUAAAAUCUAGUGU